This 330-nucleotide ribosomal RNA is filed under the name uncultured eukaryote. RNAcentral's name for it is "partial 18S ribosomal RNA". It matches the Rfam family "Eukaryotic small subunit ribosomal RNA", at positions 1470 to 1796 of the family's 1831-position model. The record is from RNAcentral.
CCCUUAGAUGUUCGGGGCCGCACGCGCGCUACACUGAAGGAAUCAGCACGUCUUUCUCCUUGUCCGAAAGGACUGGGUAACCCGCUGAACCUCCUUCGUGCUAGGGAUUGGGGCUUGUAAUUCUUCCCCAUGAACGAGGAAUUCCCAGUAAGCGCGAGUCAUAAGCUCGCGUUGAUUACGUCCCUGCCCUUUGUACGCACCGCCCGUCGCUACUACCGAUUGGAUGGUUUAGUGAGAUCCUCGGAUUGGUCCCGGAGCGGCCUCUGGUCGUGCCGGAGUGCCGAAAAGAAUGUCGAACUUGAUCAUCUAGAGGAAGUAAAAGUCGUAACA